AAGGAGGGCACAGAGCCAUCUGUAGUGUGGAGAAAUCUGAGCUGCUUUCUGCACUGAUGAUACUAAUGCUAUGCCAAAUGUGAGCAUGAGGAGGAAAAAAGGACAGCUGAGGAUUUGGCUCUACUCCUGAUUUCUGACUGCUGAACUCAGACUGACACAGCAGUUAACAGAAACAGGAUGUCAAUAAACACAUGAUGAAAUCUCCAGUUCUCACAGGUCUCUUCCUCCUGAGAAAUCUCAUUUAAGUAAACCCGCAAGGCUACUUUGCAAGAAAAGGAGACUGAAUAAAACAGUGGGAGACACAAGAAGAGACAAAUAGUCAAGGAAGGGCUUCUUUCUUUUAUUAUCAUUCUGUUGUCAUCCAGCUUAGCUGUUCAGCUCCUAAAGUCAGAGGACCCAAAAUCCUAGGAUUAUUCAUGUUGGAAAAGACCUUCAGAUGUCAUCGAGUCCCAUCAUAUGUGUCCUCCUGUAUAUGUAUCCUGUACUCCAUACAGACAUUCUCUUGACCUAUCCAUGGCAAUCUCUGAAGAAAACAUUCUCGAUAUUAGGUGUCAUGUUAUGUGCAUAUUGCAAUUAUUUCCAUCUCUUCCGUCUGAGGUAUAAUCCUGAGGAUUUUCCUGCUCUGAUGAAGUUGCACAAUAUCUCUGAUCUGGGGAUGCCUUGGACUUGGAUUAGAGCCUUUGUCUUUUGCUUGUCUCUGCUUCUGCUGACGACUCAAACAUUCUGAGAGUCCUUGAGGUUUAGCGAAGAUGUUGGAAUUGUUAAAACCAAAAGCUAGUCAAAGACAACUUGAAAUAGAGCUCAGGUAUCUAUUGGUCUUGCAAAUUCUGGCAGAAGUUUUGGAUUAGAAAUGAAGUUAAAAAGCAGCCCAAGCAGUUCCAUUAUUUAGGAGUGUGUGGGGAUUCCUGACCACAAACAGGGCAUAUUUUAUCCCAGUUGUCCCUAUUGGAUACUUCUGAUUUAAGAGUAGUUUUUAAGUCUUAUUCUUCACAAUUUAUCUCUAGUUAUUCCAAAGCAUUUGAAAUUCUCACCACAGCUGAUAUCUGGCAGAAAACAGUCUGAUCCACAGACCACUGAAUUGUUGAGAAAGCCUUUCUCAUUGGUUUCAAACUACUUGGAGAUGCAAAAUUGGAAUCAGUGUAUGAACUUACCGUAUAAUGUCUGGCUCAUGGAUAUUUCACUGGACUUCUCACAUGGCUUCAUCUUUGUGUUCCUGUACCUUCUAAGGAAGACCUAAUUUGGUCAUAGCACCUUUUAUGAAGUGCUUUUUAAUGUUGUAUUACAUACCAAAAAUUUAAUUCCAGUUUUGAAGAAUUUUUCCGUUUUUGACUCUCAGUGUUAUGGUUUAAUAUGUGAACAAAUCUCUAAAGGUUACUAAUUGCUAAUUAACCCAGAAAGGGAAGAGUCCUGGUGAAAUGUGUGCUGUACACAUCAGAGCUCUCAUGGUGCUCAGAAUUUGCUCACUAAAAUCAGCCCUAUAAAUCUUCAUUAGGCCACAAGCUCUGGGCACUGUUACAACUCUAAUUCAGGUUUUCCACAUCCAUAUCUCAGAUUGCACAUAGUGAAGAUACUACCUCAUUUCCACAUCAUUUACAAAGGGUGUAUUUUUCCCUACUGAGAAGUCUCAUUGUAAGAGCAAUCAGCAAUUCAGAGCUAUCAAUUAAACAUAGAGCCUUUUAAAUGGCAGUAAAAGUGAAAUGGUAGAGUGGAAUGGGAAGGAAUCUAAAAACAGGUGCAAUUACACUCAUUUUUAUUUCAGACUCUUAAAUUUUUAUGUCUUUUACAGGCACAUGAAUAAAUGAAUUAUACAGGAUUACAACUUUUGGGAAUUAAUUCAUGCUAUUCCAGAAAGCUCUAGUUCAGCAGAGGUGGCAAAAGGAAUAAUAGGUUCUAAAGGCACCAGAUGUUGGCUGUGAGUCUUCCAGUGAUUCCAGAACACAUCUGGAAUUACAGUUCCAUUGAUUUCAUUGAAACAAGCAACACAUUUCUCUUCUAGAGUUCCAGCAUUUGAAUGAAAGAACUGGAAUAAGGUUCUAUCUGAGUUAUUUUAUAGUUUUAGACAGGAAUUAAACCUUUACAAAUGUUAAGGAAUGUUAUCUGUUUAACUGAAUCACACCAAGCCCUUUUUGCACAUUUUAAUUAUCCUAUGUUUUCAGUAGAUGGCAGAAACUGAAGAAGCUGAGACCAUGUGGAAUUCAGGACACUUUGUAAAACUGGGAGCUUAUAAAACCACUGCUUCCUACCAAGUCCUGCUAAUAGUCCAGAUUGCCUUUCUCCAUCACUCCUUAUUGAGAACAAGAUUAUUAGCAAUGAGUCUGUUUUCAAGCAUGUUUACAGUAUGUACACACAUAUUUUUCCAGACGUGAAAUAAUUCCUUUCCAAUGUAAGGUCAGAUGACCACAGCACUAGUUUGCAGAGUGAAUCCUGUACCAGAUAUGAAAUGCUGCUUGGUAUCUCUUCCUCACUGAUUCCAUUGUACCAUCCACAAGAUGCAUCUCAUGGUUGGCUUUGUUUGAGCAUAAACUAUUCCAUAGUAUGCCUCAUUAAAUUUUGCCUUAGCUGCAAAAGUGUGUGAAGAGGAAACGUGGUUCCAUGACUUGCAUAUGUGAAUGCAAUUGAUGGGUUCAGCCUGAUCCUCUUGAUUUAUGUUACAAAGUUCACACAGGAACAAUUAGGAACAGAAAGUGGAACUUUGUUGUUCCACUUUACAUACAUCCAGUUUUUAAGUUAGUGACAUUUUGGUUUCAUGAUCUUGAGUAGAGGCUCAAAAAAGUGCAGCAAACCCCUUUCCUCCUCCUUUCCUGCAGCUGAGUUUCUACAGUGGGUGAGGAGCCAUGGUCA
Tympanuchus pallidicinctus (lesser prairie-chicken) is the source of this 2841-nucleotide long non-coding RNA. RefSeq lists it as uncharacterized. Lineage: Eukaryota; Metazoa; Chordata; Aves; Galliformes; Phasianidae. The transcript has 4 exons. The record is from RefSeq and is a predicted model, not a curated record.